Molecule: long non-coding RNA, 3269 nt
Organism: Alligator mississippiensis (American alligator)
Lineage: Eukaryota; Metazoa; Chordata; Crocodylia; Alligatoridae
Exons: 2
Source: RefSeq, a predicted model, not a curated record
GGAGCUGGUGAUUGGCUCUCCCCGAGCCGCGAGGGGGGCCGUGCCUGCCCCCCCCCCGCGGGGCGCGUUGCUUGCAGGCGUCAGCGUGCACCUCCCGCGCGGCGCUGCCCCCCGGACCGUCAUCGUCCUGUGUGUACGACAGCUUCAGCCGUUGUGUGAUGUAUGUUUAAUAAUAACAAAAGCGUCCAAACUGUACGACUACUUUUUGAGGCAGCACGUGCAAAAUCCAGUCACUCUGGGCAGUCUCAACUGACCUUCGGGCAUGCUGUCAGCACUUUCCUAUGGCUGCUUGCCUCCAAGCGAAGAAAUGCUUCAAGUUUGAUGGCCCGUUUCUCACUCAGUCACUGGCCUGUUACACUGAGCAAUGGCUACAUACAGUUGUCCACGGGAAAACACUGGUUCUGGUAAGCAGUGGCCAACAGAAUCAAACGUUUGUCCUUGUGAUUUAUUAAUCAUUAUUGCAAACGCUCUUAUUACGGGAAAUUGUCUCCUUUUCAGAAUGAAAGGUAGUUGUGUGUCCAAUGGAGCUGAGGAAUGAUGAUGCAAUGUCCUACAUUAGUACCUGUAAUUAUUUCAGCAUCUAUGAAAUUGUGGUGUAAUCCUCUUAUUAUCAGUUGAGUUCCAUUGCACAGUCCCAUUUUUGGAUUCAUAUUUCUGAGUAACAUAACAAUAGCACUAGUUUCCAAUUGCAAUUCAUGUGAUGGGAGUCCUGAUGGUGUUUGUGCAUUUAAAAAUUCAAUGGGAUAAAUAGUUUGAUUUUCAGAAUCAUCCAUGAUCAUAGAAUCUGUUCUGCGGUACAUUUUCAUUUCACCAGGCAGCAAAGCUAUAAUUUUAGUAUUCAAUUCCAUGGCGUGUUUAUUUUUGGGAGUUACAAUAAUUUUCUUUGAAAGGGACUCUAAGUCUUCUACUUCAAUGUGGUUCUCAUAAACUGCUGUGACAAUGGACUCCAUUUCAAUAAAGGUUUCUGGUAUUUCAAUUACAUCUGGUGGCAAUCUAUAAUCAUUUGACAUAGUUCCUUCACCAACUUUGAGAGUCCAUUCAUUGAAUGAUGUUGCCCUUCAGUGCACGUUUUGUGAUAAUUUGAUUUUGGUGAAAUUUGACCACAGAUUACUUUUUAUGCAUGCCUCAAUCAUUUCUGUUCUUGUAGAUCGUGCUAUGACUAGUAAUGUUUGUCUGAAGUCUCCACCUAACAAAAGCAGUUUCACUUUGAAUGGCAUUUCAUUUUGCAUAAUCUCUCUGAGCAAUAAAUCAAUGCAUCUAAGUGCAUGAGUGUGCAUCAUAGUGGCUUCGUCAAUUAUAAUUAACAUGGCCUUUUUUCAUUGUGGCAGCUUCGGUGAAUGUAAGUUUAUACGUGAAGUAGAUGUUUCAAAUAUUGGGACGGGUAAUUGGAAGCCAAUGUGUAUUGUUCUUCCUCCUUUUAAAAGAUGAGCAGUUAUUCCUGUUGUUGCAAAAGGGAGAACAAUUUGUCCGGUUCCUUUAAUAUAAACUAUUAAAGUGUAAAACAUUCAAGUGUUAUACAAGUAAGUUUUCCCAAAUCCUCCAGGUCCAUGCAAAUAAAAGCAAUGAUUUGCACUGUCUCCAUUUAUAGCAGUAACAAUUUGAUCAAAGGCGUAUUUCUGUUUGUGCAUUGAGGUUUCUAAUUCAUUGUUCUGCCUUUAUGACAUUCGGCAAUGUCAUAAAGGAUGUCAUUACUUUGUUCAACAAUGAUGCCUGGAUCAGGGAGACCAAAAAAACUACAGUUUAAUCCAUGGACUAUCAACAAUUGUAUAUCCAGCAAUGCCUUUUAUACUGCCACAUUAUCAUUGUGAUGUCUCCUAUGGUUCUUUGUCAUGACAUCCCUAAAUUGUUCUUAUAGCUGAAAUGCAUUAGAUGGCUUACAAAAUAUGCAAAUGAAUCCAAAUGUGUUCCUAAACUGUCUGGGCAUUUGAAAUCCAGCUGCUUCCUCCAGCCACUGGCUCCAUUCUUCUUCACUGGCCAGAAAAUUUUGUCUUUUUGCUGUUUCUUGAAAUGUAUCACAGAAGACAUUGUUAAUGGUACGUAAAUCUUCAAAACUGGUUGCUUCACGGACAUGCAAUAGUAGAACUCUUUCUUUAUUGCAGAAACAGAAUCUUUCUAUAUCAUUUGGACACACUGAAUACAUCCUCUUUGUCUUCUUUACCAAACACCUUUUUGAAAUACAUAAAGGUAUGGAAUUUCUCAGUAUAAAUACAGUUGUACUUCAGGACAAUUGCGAUUUAGUGAAAACCAAGCAUUUAAAGUUGUUUUUGAAAUGUCUGCAUGAUUAAUGGCCUUACAUUCACGCCCUGGUUGAAAAUAUACUGACUGUUGGAAUGGCAAAUAAACUGCUAAACUAAUGAUUCCAUGAGAUCUAUCAUGCAUACAGUUUUCCAGCAGUCUCCACGUAACCUCUGGUGGUGUCACAUACCUUGAAUCAUGGUAAUUGGUCAUCUCGUCAUGUUGUAGUCAUUGAUUAUUUACUAUUUUAAUACUGGUGCAGUCAUAUCCUUUGUAAAUGUUGACAUUGGCUACUGUUUUUUGUUGAAAUGGCUUUGGAAAAUUUUUGUUACAAUUUCCCUCACUCAUGCAUGGUGAAUUACUGUUGAAAGUACCACAUGGACCAUGUAUCAUGUAUUUUUUUACCAUGUCCUAUAAAAUUGGGUCUGUGUCUGGAUUGGGAAUUUUGGCACUAACUGUACGAUCGGUGGCUGCUUGUAUGUCAAGCUUGUUCUCCAAUAUAAUCAGCAUGUGCACAUGCGGGAGUCCUCUUUUUUUGAAACUUAGUUGUGUACACAUGAGCAAUAACUGGACCAAACAGUUUUUAUUUUUUUUAUAACAUCAUUCACUAAAGAUGCCAGCUUAAUUUUGAAUCCUCUUGCUACUAAAUCUGGUCUGUCUGAAGGUUUUUGUCCAGGAAAUGCAUUUUCUUGAAUAGCAGGCCUUUUUGAUUUCAGUGAACGUAAUAAACAGAUUUGGGUGUCCAUAUUUGCUCACUAUUGCCAUGGUGCCGUGAUAUCCUUCUUGCACAUUUCUUGGUCCUCCUUGGAAUGAUGACGGUAAAAUGACAGUUUUUCCUACUUGCUUACCGGAGGUUAAAGCAGUUUCUGUUAAGAAGUCCAUAAGACCAUUGUAUUGUGCUACUCUUAGGUUUUCCUUGUUGUUGCCUAAGGUAACUUAAAUUGUUUGCCUCAGCUUGUAAAUGUGAAUCUACAAUCCAUUGUUGAGUCAAUUUUCCUCCAUGUAAAAUUGAAUUAAAUUCAUUUUGAAAAACU